GCAGAAUGUCGAACGAGUAGUUUCUCGAUGCACGAAGAAUGUGAGAGACCGCAGUUAAGGAGCUAAGUUGCAUUUCCUCGGUCCAUCAUGUCAUCAAUCCUCCCCUCCAUCGUAAUGUGGACUCUCGUACCGCUUCUGAUCUCCGAUCACGUCCGAUGCAAAAACAUCAAUACUUAUGCCGGGCCGUUCAUCGCUUAUGUCCAUUCGGCUACGAUGUGCCCAUCGGAUAGAACCAUUUCGCAUUUCGUCCGCUUUUCCCACUUCAACCCAGUCCGACCUUUCGAUCUUCAAAAAAUGUGGGGAAAUGUGACAUUCAAUUUAAAUUUUACGGACAAUUUUUGGUCACGGAUUGAUUGGGCACUACGAGCGAACAACCAAUGGAAAGAAAACUUCUACAUCAUGGAUUUCCCUAAAACCGGAUGCAGCGCAUUGCGUGAUCACAUACCCGACCUUUUCCGGACACUAGCGAAACUCAGCGGGGCACCGACGGACAAGAGGACAGCCUGUGUCAUUCCUGCGGGAUUCUAUGAAUUCAUCAACGAACCAGUCAGCUGGCUUCUUCCACCCCUGACCGUGUUGCCUUAUGGACGCUACCGAGUGCGAAUGAAAAGCCGAACUGACAGCGACAGCAGGGCCACCUCACGUCUCUGUCUGGAAGUUGACUGUGAAUUCGUGCCAAAGCCUCAUUCAUAGCCAGAGUCUUGUGAGAAUCAAAAGAUCCUUCAUUGCACGAAUUUCGACCCCAAUGCGACACCUAGCGGCAAACCUGCGAAUGACAGGCUAGGCAUACCACUCAGGAAUGAACAAUUUGAUGGGAGAAGGAAAUGGCGUUCAUCAUAAUUCUACAAUGGUA
This is an RNA transcript of Thrips palmi, 853 nucleotides long. RefSeq lists it as uncharacterized. Lineage: Eukaryota; Metazoa; Arthropoda; Insecta; Thysanoptera; Thripidae. The record is from RefSeq and is a predicted model, not a curated record. The transcript is spliced from 6 exons.